GAUGAACGCUGGCGGCGUGCCUAAUACAUGCAAGUCGAGCGAACAGACGAGGAGCUUGCUCCUCUGACGUUAGCGGCGGACGGGUGAGUAACACGUGGAUAACCUACCUAUAAGACUGGGAUAACUUCGGGAAACCGGAGCUAAUACCGGAUAAUAUAUUGAACCGCAUGGUUCAAUAGUGAAAGGCGGUUUUGCUGUCACUUAUAGAUGGAUCCGCGCCGCAUUAGCUAGUUGGUAAGGUAACAGCUUACCAAGGCAACGAUGCGUAGCCGACCUGAGAGGGUGUUCGGCCACACUGGAACUGAGACACGGUCCAGACUCCUACGGGAGGCAGCAGUAGGGAAUCUUCCGCAAUGGGCGAAAGCCUGACGGAGCAACGCCGCGUGAGUGAUGAAGGUCUUCGGAUCGUAAAACUCUGUUAUUAGGGAAGAACAAAUGUGUAAGUAACUAUGCACGUCUUGACGGUACCUAAUCAGAAAGCCACGGCUAACUACGUG
Molecule: ribosomal RNA, 497 nt
Filed under: uncultured bacterium
Lineage: Bacteria
Description: partial 16S ribosomal RNA
Rfam family: Bacterial small subunit ribosomal RNA
Source: RNAcentral